GUGGGGAAUAUUGGACAAUGGGCGCAAGCCUGAUCCAGCCAUGCCGCGUGAGUGAUGAAGGCCUUAGGGUUGUAAAGCUCUUUCACCGAUGAAGAUAAUGACGGUAGUCGGAGAAGAAGCCCCGGCUAACUUCGUGCCAGCAGCCGCGGUAAUACGAAGGGGGCUAGCGUUGUUCGGAAUUACUGGGCGUAAAGCGCACGUAGGCGGACAUUUAAGUCAGGGGUGAAAUCCCAGAGCUCAACUCUGGAACUGCCUUUGAUACUGGGUGUCUUGAGUAUGGAAGAGGUAAGUGGAAUUCCGAGUGUAGAGGUGAAAUUCGUAGAUAUUCGGAGGAACACCAGUGGCGAAGGCGGCUUACUGGUCCAUUACUGACGCUGAGGUGCGAAAGCGUGGGGAGCAAACAGGAUUAGAUACCCGAGUAGUCC
This 425-nucleotide ribosomal RNA is filed under the name uncultured bacterium. RNAcentral describes it as "partial 16S ribosomal RNA". It matches the Rfam family "Bacterial small subunit ribosomal RNA", at positions 354 to 796 of the family's 1533-position model. The record is from RNAcentral.